AAGCCAAAGGAAAUACUCAGUUUAUGUGUUAAAUACAAUUCCUGACUAGGAUAUGAGAGUUGGUUUUAAAAACAUUAUAUUAUGGAAUGGAAAAACAAAUUUACAAUUUAAUACUUCCCUGUGGGUUUGGAGACUCUUUUUCUUACUUGUUACUUAUACGAUAUAAUAUGGCAACCCAGUUUAAUAUUAUACCAUGGAUAAUACUAACAGAUGAAUUCUAAAAGUUGUUUUAUGACAGUUAAUGGCUGAUAAAUUAAAAUUGAUUUGGCAGUACAUUGCAUUUAAACAGUUAAAAAUGAAACAAUUUUCUGCUUGUUUUCACUUUCACAGUUAUUUUAUUUUAUUUUCAGAGAACGAUCUCCUCAGCAGAAUAUAGUAUCUUGUGUAAGUGUAAGCACCCAGACAGCUUCAGAUGAUCAAGCUGGUAAACUGUGGGAUGAACUCAGUCUGGUUGGGCUUCCAGAUGCCAUUGAUAUCCAAGCCUUAUUUGAUUCUACAGGCACUUGUUGGGCUCAUCACCGUUGUGUGGAGUGGUCACUAGGAGUAUGCCAGAUGGAAGAACCAUUGUUAGUGAACGUGGACAAAGCUGUUGUCUCAGGGAGCACAGAAGUAAGUAGACAAAGCAAAUAUUUAAAUCAUAG
RNAcentral lists this long non-coding RNA (641 nucleotides) under Homo sapiens (human). RNAcentral describes it as "non-protein coding lnc-XRCC2-8:1". The record is from RNAcentral. Lineage: Eukaryota; Metazoa; Chordata; Mammalia; Primates; Hominidae.